CAUGGAGUUUGAUCCUGGCUCAGAUUGAACGCUGGCGGAAUGCUUUACACAUGCAAGUCGAACGGUAGAGGGGGCAACCCCUUGAGAGUGGCGAACGGGUGAGUAAUAUAUCGGAACGUGCCCAGUCGUGGGGGAUAACGUAGCGAAAGUUACGCUAAUACCGCAUACGAUCUAAGGAUGAAAGCGGGGACUCGCAAGAGCCUCGCGCGAUUGGAGCGGCCGAUAUCAGAUUAGGUAGUUGGUGGGGUAAAGGCUUACCAAGCCAACGAUCUGUAGCUGGUCUGAGAGGACGACCAGCCACACUGGAACUGAGACACGGUCCAGACUCCGUACGGGGAGGCAGC
RNAcentral lists this ribosomal RNA (344 nucleotides) under uncultured Limnohabitans sp. RNAcentral's name for it is "bacterial SSU rRNA". It matches the Rfam family "Bacterial small subunit ribosomal RNA", at positions 1 to 352 of the family's 1533-position model. The record is from RNAcentral. Lineage: Bacteria; Pseudomonadati; Pseudomonadota; Betaproteobacteria; Burkholderiales; Comamonadaceae.